GGUGGAUUGAUUUGUCUGGUCUAUUCCGAUAACGAACGAGACUCUAUCCUACUAAAUAGUUUCACGAUUUUCAAGUCAUGUAGACUUCUUAGAGGGAUAAGCGGUGUUUAACCGCACGAGAUUGAGCGAUAACAGGUCUGUGAUGCCCUUAGAUGUCCGGGGCUGCACGCGCGCUACACUGGAGAAUUCAGCUGGACUUCUAUUGCCGAAAGGUAUUGGUAAACCGUUGAAACUUCUCCGUGACCGGGAUAGGGAAUUGUAAUUAUUUCCCUUGAAGGAGGAAUUCCUAGUAAGUGUGAGUCAUCAGCUCACGCUGAAUACGUCCCUGCCCUUUGUAC
This 338-nucleotide ribosomal RNA is filed under the name Nematoda environmental sample. RNAcentral describes it as "SSU rRNA". It matches the Rfam family "Eukaryotic small subunit ribosomal RNA", at positions 1300 to 1665 of the family's 1831-position model. The record is from RNAcentral. Lineage: Eukaryota; Metazoa; Nematoda.